GGGCACAUGGUGUAGUUGGUUAUCACGCUCGCUUAGCAGUUCUGCGGGUAUUGGGUUCACUUCCCAAUGUGUGCGAGAGGUGUUGGGUUCAAUUCCCAAUGUGUCCA
This is a non-coding RNA of Favolaschia claudopus, 107 nucleotides long. NCBI's taxonomy places the organism in Eukaryota, Fungi, Basidiomycota, Agaricomycetes, Agaricales, Mycenaceae. The record is from the annotation of a GenBank genome assembly.